Molecule: unclassified non-coding RNA, 260 nt
Filed under: Hevea brasiliensis (rubber tree)
Lineage: Eukaryota; Viridiplantae; Streptophyta; Magnoliopsida; Malpighiales; Euphorbiaceae
Source: RNAcentral
CCUCAUCACUGCUACAAAUUUCCUUUCCUUUUUCUUUGUUUUUAUCCUCCAUCAUAAUGCUCAUGAAAGCCCAAAAUUCCUCCCUGAAAGAAUUAAGUUCCAAGGAAGUUUUCUUUGCCUCCUCCUUCAUUCCUCGAGUCUCCUCUGGGAGAUCUCUCAUGUUCUCCUCUAGCUCAGCAAUCUUGACCAUCUCAGAACUCACCACUACAGAUCUAGUCAUAUUUCCAACUCACAAGAACCAACAAUUGAAUCAAUCCCAC